Rosa rugosa (rugosa rose) is the source of this 1197-nucleotide long non-coding RNA. RefSeq lists it as uncharacterized. The transcript has 7 exons. NCBI's taxonomy places the organism in Eukaryota, Viridiplantae, Streptophyta, Magnoliopsida, Rosales, Rosaceae. The record is from RefSeq and is a predicted model, not a curated record.
AGAGUCUAAUGUACCAACUAAGCAAAGGUGGUGCCUUUGGCCAUGGUCAUGGAAUCUUACACAAUCCCAUGGAAUCAAAUGAGAACACACAGAACCUUCAACUGCCACGGAGAUGCAAAUAUGGAAGUUACGAUCAUCCAUAGUAUAGCACGCAUACAUGUCAAUCAUACUGUCAUAUUGAGAUGCUUUAUAGAUAAGGGGUCUGGGGGACUUUAUCCUCUGUCAGGUACGGAAGUGAAGUUCAACGGAACAAGAGAACUAAAUAUGAUACAGCAAACUAUACGGAUAACGAUUGUGCUUUAAAAGGUGCCAGUAGAAGUAUCUUAUUGGAAUCAAGUAUUCACGGACCUGGGAUGGGCACUGAUGGUGGAUAUUGGAAGGGUAACAAGCCUGUUCAAGAUGCUGCUGAAGUAUAGGCCUGAAGACAAAGCAGAGAAGAAGGAGCGUCUUUUGAAAAGGGCUCAGGCAGAGACUGAAGGAAAGACUGUUGAAGCCAAGAAGCCUAUUGUUGUGAAGUACGGUCUCAACCAUGUCACCUACCUCAUUGAGCAGAACAAGGCCUAGCUUGUGGUUAUCGCUCAUGAUGUCGAUCCAGUUGAGUUGGUUGUAUGGCUCCCUGCUUUAUGACUGAAACUCUGAAGACCAUGACUGAAACUCUCAAGCAGACGGGUCGAAAAGCGAGAUUGAUUGGGCAAGGGAUCCCAGAAGGUCAUCCCAUUAAAAAAAUUGUGCUCUUGCGUAUCGGAUCCCAUAACUGAAAAGGCAUGUCACAACCCAACCUUGAGUCAUGACUAAGGUGGUGGUUAAAAACUGAAAUCAGAUGGGAGAGGAGAGGCAGCAACCAAUACACCCCAAGCGGAUAUUGAUCAAGUGCGAAAUGAGUGGGGGAAGUUUGUUGUCAACAAAUAUGUGCAUGAGCCAUGAAGUAGCGCACUUGUUGCUGGUCCAUUUUUGCUAAGGAAAACAUCUUUUUUUGUGCUUCUCUGCUGGUACAUUGUCAUGCACCAUGUGUUGCAUGUUUUGGAACAAUCGAUAUAUAUGUAUUAGCUUUUUGAUGUCCCAAGUAGAUGGGCAUGCACUAGAAUGGUUUUCUUGUUUAAAAUGUUAGGUUCAAUGAUUAGUGGUUUGCAAUGUUUAUAUUUGAUAUGUAAAUGGAUCAAAUGCACAAUUUAAUUCAGGAAUGGGAUAUGUUCAAAU